GGUACAGAGUCAAUGUGGAGGCUAUAUACAGGGGGUACCGGUACAGAGUCAAUGUGGAGGCUAUAUACAGGGGGUACCAGUACAGAGUCAAUGUGGAGGCUAUAUACAGGGGGUACUGGUACAGAGUCAAUGUGGAGGCUAUAUACAGGGGGUACCAGUACAGAGUCAAUGUGGAGGCUAUAUACAGGGGGUACUGGUACAGAGUCAAUGUGGAGGCUAUAUACAGGGGGUACCAGUACCGAGUCAAUGUGGAGGCUAUAUACAGGGGGUACCAGUACCGAGUCAAUGUGGAGAUUAUAUACAGAGGGUACUGGUACAGAGUCAAUGUGGAGACUAUAUACAGGGGGUACCAGUACAGAGUCAAUGUGGAGGCUGUAUACAGGGGGUAUCGGUACAAAGUCAAUGUGGAGGCUAUAUACAGGGGGUACCGGUACAGAGUCAAUGUGGAGGCUAUAUACAGGGGGUACCGGUACAGAGUCA
Oncorhynchus tshawytscha (Chinook salmon) is the source of this 480-nucleotide long non-coding RNA. The record is from Ensembl. Lineage: Eukaryota; Metazoa; Chordata; Actinopteri; Salmoniformes; Salmonidae.